UACGUAUGGUGCAAGCGUUAUCCGGAUUUACUGGGUGUAAAGGGAGCGUAGGCGGCGCGUUAAGUCUGAUGUGAAAACCCGAGGCUCAACCACGGGAGCGCAUUGGAAACUGGCGUGCUGGAGUGCCGGAGAGGUAAGCGGAAUUCCUAGUGUAGCGGUGAAAUGCGUAGAUAUUAGGAGGAACACCAGUGGCGAAGGCGGCUUACUGGACGGCAACUGACGCUGAGGCUCGAAAGCGUGGGGAGCAAACAGG
This 253-nucleotide ribosomal RNA is filed under the name uncultured bacterium. Its description in RNAcentral is "partial 16S ribosomal RNA". It matches the Rfam family "Bacterial small subunit ribosomal RNA", at positions 524 to 776 of the family's 1533-position model. The record is from RNAcentral.